GAUGAAGAACGUAGCGAAAUGCGAUAAGUAAUGUGAAUUGCAGAAUUCAGUGAAUCAUCGAGUCUUUGAACGCACAUUGCGCCCCCUGGUAUUCCGGGGGGCAUGCCUGUCCGAGCGUCAUUGCCGCCCUCAAGCACGGCUUGUGUGUUGGGCCCCCGCCCCCCGGCUUCGGGGGGCGGGCCCGAAAGGCAGCGGCGGCACCGCGUCCGGUCCUCGAGCGUAUGGGGCUUCGUCACCCGCUCUGUAGGCCCGGCCGGCGCCCGCCGGCGACCCCAAUCAAUCUUUCCAGGUUGACCACGGAUCAGGUAGGGAUACCCGCUGAACUUAAGCAUAUCAAUAAGCGGAGGA
RNAcentral lists this unclassified non-coding RNA (348 nucleotides) under soil metagenome. RNAcentral's name for it is "partial contains 5.8S ribosomal RNA, internal transcribed spacer 2, and large subunit ribosomal RNA". The stretch from base 1 to 120 matches the Rfam family "5.8S ribosomal RNA", at positions 35 to 154 of the family's 154-position model. The record is from RNAcentral.